This 465-nucleotide ribosomal RNA is filed under the name uncultured bacterium. RNAcentral's name for it is "partial 16S ribosomal RNA". It matches the Rfam family "Bacterial small subunit ribosomal RNA", at positions 338 to 795 of the family's 1533-position model. The record is from RNAcentral.
CCUACGGGUGGCAGCAGUAGGGAAUUUUCGUCAAUGGGCGCAAGCCUGAACGAGCGAUGCCGCGUGAGUGAAGAAGGCCUUCGGGUCGUAAAGCUCUGUUGCGGGGGAGAAAAGGCAGCAUCCGGAAAUGGGUGCUGACUGAUGGUGCCCCGCCAGAUAGUCACGGCUAACUCCGUGCCCGCAGCCGCGGUAAAACGUAGGUGGCGAGCGUUAUCCGGAAUGAUUGGGCGUAAAGGGUGCGCGGGGGGUCCUGCAAGUCUGGAGUGAAACGCAUGGGCUCAACUCAUGCAUGGCUUUGGAAACUGGAGGACUGGAGAGCAGGAGAGGGCGGUGGAACGCGAUGGGUAGCGGUAAAAUGCGUAGAUAUAUGGAAGAACACCAGUGGCGAAGGCAGCCGACUGGCCGGUUGCUGACGCUGAGGCACGAAAGCGUGGGUAGCGAAUAGGAUUAGAUACCCUUGUAGUC